Molecule: non-coding RNA, 196 nt
Filed under: Tenacibaculum jejuense
Lineage: Bacteria; Pseudomonadati; Bacteroidota; Flavobacteriia; Flavobacteriales; Flavobacteriaceae
Source: RNAcentral
AAAUUUGCUGCGAUUUUUGGUUUUUCUUUAACUAUCGCUUAAAGAAAAUUAAAAGGGAAUUCGGUGAAAAACCGAAGCUGUACCCGCAACUGUAAGCUAUAUAGCCUGUAACUAAUUACUUUUUAACCACUGCGAAAGCGGGAAGGUAAGUUGCAAGACGCAAGCCAGGAGACCUGCCAAUAGUUAAUAGAUAACA